Molecule: ribosomal RNA, 2133 nt
Filed under: Coppingeria sp. KJO-2011
Lineage: Eukaryota; Metazoa; Annelida; Polychaeta; Terebellida; Flabelligeridae
Description: SSU rRNA
Rfam family: Eukaryotic small subunit ribosomal RNA
Source: RNAcentral
CUGCCAGUAGUCAUAUGCUUGUUUUAAAGAUUAAGCCAUGCACGUCUAAGUACAGGCCACUUUAAACGAUGGUCGAAACUGCGAACGGCUCAUUAAAUCAGUCAUGGUUCAUUGGAUCGUACUAUCCCUACGUGGAUAACUGUGGUAAUUCUAGAGCUAAUACAUGCAACUUUUCGCUCCGACCCAGCGCAGGGGGAAGAGCGCUCUUAUUAGAUCAAAGACCAACCGGCGUGCGGGCGGAUCUUCGGACCGUCUCUCGCCGCAAUUAUAGACUUGGUGACUCUGGAUAACACGCUAAGCUGAUCGCAUCGGCCGUCGAGCCGGCGACGCUUCUUUCAAAUGUCUGCCUUAUCAACUGUCGACGGCAGGUGACCUGCCUGCCGUGGUAUUGACGGGUAACGGGGAAUCAGGGUUCGGUUCCGGAGAGGGAGCCCGAGAAACGGCUACCACAUCCAAGGAAGGCAGCAGGCGCGCAAAUUACCCACUCUCGACGCGUGGAGGUAGUGACGAAAAAUAACGAUGCGGGACUCUUUGGAGGCCCCGUAAUCGGAAUGAGUGCAAUUUAAAUCCUUGGACGAGGAUCUAUUGGAGGGCAAGUCUGGUGCCAGCAGCCGCGGUAAUUCCAGCUCCAAUAGCGUAUAUUAAAGUUGCUGCGUUUAAAACGCUCGUAGUUGGAUCUCGGGUGCGGGACGGUCGGUGUCGCCCACAGCGGCGUCCACUGCCGUCGCCUCGGCCGCGUCGUGGGGUCUUCGGUGCGUUUUAGCUUCUCUUCUUCUUCCUUUGCCCGCCUAGCGUUAGUUCGUUGGGUCGGGGUUUACGGGGGGAGGAGCAGAGGGAGGCUGCGCCCCGAAUAAAAGGGCCCUCGGACGGCCGCUGGCGAGUCUAAUUCCCGUCACCUUGAACCAGGCCGGCGUCUCUUCGGGUUGCUCUUCGCUGGGUGGCCCGGGGUGGUCGGCCCCGUUUACUUUGAGAAAACAGGAGUGCUCAAAGCAGGCAGUUCUCGUUGGCCAAUGAACGAGUUGUGCAUGGAAUAAUGGAAUAGGACCUCGGUUCUGUUGCGUUGGUUUUAUCGGAAUGCCGAGGUAAUGAUUAAGAGGGACAGACGGGGGCAUUCGUAUUGCGCCGGGAGAGGUGAAAUUCUUAGAUCGUCGCAAGACGCACGACUGCGAAAGCAUUUGCCAAGCAUGUUUUCCUUAGUCAAGAACGAAAGUCAGAGGCUCGAAGACGAUCAGAUACCGUCGUAGUUCUGACCGUAAACGAUGCCGACCGGCGAUGCGCCGCGGUCGUUAACGUAUAUGACCCGGCGUGCAGCCUUCCCGGGAAACCUAGAGUGCUUGGGUUACGGGGGAAGUAUGGUUGCAAAGCUGAAACUUAAAGGAAUUGACGGAAGGGCACCACCAGGAGUGGAGCCUGCGGCUUAAUUUGACUCAACACGGGAAAACCUACCCGGCCCGGACACCGUGAGGAUUGACAGAUUGAGAGCUCUUUCUCGAUUCGGUGGGUGGUGGUGCAUGGCCGUUCUUAGUUGGUGGAGCGAUCUGUCUGGUUAAUUCCGAUAACGAACGAGACUCUAGCCUAUUAAAUAGUUCGCCUGUCGUCCGCUCCAAAGCGGCUCUUGGCGGGCGGGAGAGUUUUUUUCUCGGCGGCCCUACCUAACCCCCCCAUCCUUUUUAUUGAGGUAUAGGGGGGAGGCGGUCGGUUCGUCGGGUUUGCUUUCCGUUGAACUUCUUAGAGGGACUAGCGACUUUCAGUCGUGCGAGAAUGAGCAAUAACAGGUCUGUGAUGCCCUUAGAUGUCCGGGGCCGCACGCGCGCUACAAUGAAAGAAUCAACGCGUGUCACCAACCCGGUCCGAGAGGAUCGGGCAACCAGUUGAACCUCUUUCGUGAUAGGGACUGGGCGUUGUAAUUUUCGCCCACAAACGAGGAAUUCCCAGUAAGCGCGAGUCACGAACUCGCGUUGAUUACGUCCCUGCCCUUUGUACACACCGCCCGUCGCUACUACCGACUGGACGGCGCAGUGAGGCGAUCGGAUCGGCCCUCCCAAGUCCCUCUCGCGGGGUUCACUCUGCGGGUGGGUACCGACGGACGGGACGAGAAGAUCUUCGAACUGCGACGUCUGAAGGAAGUAAAAA